AUGUAUAUAUGUACAUUCCUCCUAUGUUCAGGGUUAUUUUUUAAAUGCCUGAUAGGUUCUGUUUAACAUCUUUUGACUGUAAUGUUAUGACACUGAAUAAAAGGAAGAGUGAUUAUUCAUUAUA
This is a long non-coding RNA of Lacerta agilis (Sand lizard), 124 nucleotides long. RefSeq lists it as uncharacterized. The transcript has 2 exons. The record is from RefSeq and is a predicted model, not a curated record. Lineage: Eukaryota; Metazoa; Chordata; Lepidosauria; Squamata; Lacertidae.